UGAGUCUUCUCCACCAGUCAUACAAGAAGAAUGGUCUAAUGCCUCCCAUCAAAAAGAGAGCUGGCCCAAGCAAGCACAGGUUACACCUGACGCAUGAGGACUUUCAGCGAGUUGUGAACUUCAUCAACAACAACGCAGAGGAUAAUGCAAUAGUAUUACCAGGACGCCACCCAGGACACAAACACUUUGGUGUAAAGCUGCUGCCAUCCCAUGUGGCAAAAAAGCAGUGUGGCAUCUCUACAAGGAAUUGAUGACAACACUUGGUGCACUAUCCUUCUGACCAUAUGUAACCAGGUCCCAUCUACUUUUUAACUCCUCGCAAGUGUGGCUUGUUUGGUGUCUGCUGUGAAGGAAUACCACAACAAGUCAAUUACUUGAUUGAUGAAAGCAUGUCAUCCAGCAAAGACAGCAGCGCAGUCAUCAACUACAUGCACCAUUUCUUCACCAUCUACGGAGUUGGGGAAACAUGUGUGGACCUGAAUUGUGAAAACUGCAUUGGCCAAAACAAGAACAAGUUUGUACUCUAGUAUUGUGCUUGGUGGACCAUGCACAAGCUCCACCACAGUCUGGACCUUCACUUCCUGAUCACAGGCCACACCAAGUUUGCCCCGACAGGUGCUUCGGUGCUGGUGGAAAGCAAUGGCUGGCAACAACACCUGACUUAGUGCUUCAGGCCACUGCCACAGUUCAAGCAGUACCAGCACUUCAGCUUUGAUGCUCUGGAGCCUGGUGUUGUUGUCGCCAAGGAGCGUCCGAACUCCGUCAGGACCAGGUUUCACCUACUGCACAACGCUGACAUCCUUCCUCCCAUAGAUGGUCUGCCUGUACAAGCACCACCUGGACUGGACACAGCUAG
Long non-coding RNA from Salvelinus namaycush (lake trout), 856 nucleotides. RefSeq lists it as uncharacterized. The record is from RefSeq and is a predicted model, not a curated record. The transcript is spliced from 3 exons. NCBI's taxonomy places the organism in Eukaryota, Metazoa, Chordata, Actinopteri, Salmoniformes, Salmonidae.